Molecule: long non-coding RNA, 5640 nt
Organism: Equus caballus (horse)
Lineage: Eukaryota; Metazoa; Chordata; Mammalia; Perissodactyla; Equidae
Source: Ensembl
GUAUAAUGUUGUUUUGUUUGUUUUUCCUUUAGUUUUGUUUUGCUUUACCCAGUAUUCCCACAAUAGUCUCCCUUUUUCCCCUAACAAUGAUGUCCCAUUUCCCAGGACAUUUUGCAGUAACUAAUUAUAUUGGACAUGAAGCAAUUUGUGUAACUGCCAAAUUUGGAAGAACUAAAAUGACCAAAAGCAGUUGAAGAUUUUCUGUGUUUUCUACGGAAUUGGAAAGAGAAGUUAAGAAAGAGACCAAGGAUUCUGCUUAUUCCAGGAUGAGAAAGGGAUCCCAUGAGAAUUCACUGCAGGCUGCUGGAGAAUCACUUCACGACGAUGAGGAUCAUCAUCCUUUCUGGGCUUGCUGACUUCUCAUUCUCCUUUAUACAAGGGGGCGAAUCAGGAUCACUAUAUCAGGUUGUUUUUGCUCCUCAGUAAUAGGAUUUUUAUUGCUAACUUAAAGGAUAGGGGAUGAAUGGAAACAAACUAGGUUUUACAUCUAACUCUAUCCUGUGCAAAACACACCAUGCUAAUAAAUCUUCCAUACUAAAAAUGUAUCCACACAAGGCAAAGGAUCAUGUUUGUAAAUCUAAUUGAAUUGAAUUUCACUUUUGUGCCUUUUUGGGGGCAUAGUUCAGGAACAAGGAGUAUGCAGUUCUGAAAUGCCAUCUUUGGGUCAGCAUUAUGGGUGAUUGCCCGUUUUAGCUGUAAGAUUAUGACUUAUAAUAAACUUAGGUGAAACUCUGAAUGCUCAGCCACAUAAAACCACAAUUGUCGUGGGCAGGCUGGUCAACAUGUGCAGAGAUGCUCAGGGUUUGGAAUUAUGUAUUUUUAUUUGGCUUUGUUUGUAUCUCAGCUGAAGCAGCUCUCUUUGAUCCAACAAAGAUAGGGUGGUUUUUAUUAAAAAUUUAACAGGUAUCUCAUAGCAAUAUUUACUUUAAUGUGAUAAAUCAAGAAAUUCUUUUUCUGAAUGAGAUAUGUUGGUAAGAUAAACUCAAUGCUAUAAGAUAAAUAUUAACUUUAUAAUGAAAACUAUGAAUGCCUUGUUGGGAACACGGCAUCUGUAUUUCUCUAAGGAGGUGGAAGCCGUCCACGCUCCUUGCUCUACCUUGGGUGAUGGGUAACGGCUUAGAUUUUAACCCUUAAUUAUCUGUCCUAGCUCCCUUCAUUGUGACAUCUCAUCCUGUGUAUUUUUCAACUUCUAAUUUAAAAAAUAUUGAGUAUGUUUGCUCAUGCAAGAGACUAGCUGAUUUGAGAGUGACAGAAGUACGACCAGGCACUUUUAGAUGCAGUAGUCUAACGGAGGAAAUGCUAACUUUAGUCAGCAAAAUUCAUUAGCAAAAAGGAGAUUUUGAAAGUUUCUGAGUUAAAAAAAUAUCUUAAAGGAAGUCUGGUGAACAUAACCUAAAGAUCUAACUACAAAAUGUUUGAGUGGAGUUCAAAGGACACCUGUGAUAGUUUUGAUAAAGUUACUGCUCUGGAAAGAACUGAGGUAUACUACUUUUCGCCACGGUGAUUGUCCGUGUAUGGGUACCUUCACGCAGUGGCACCAGUCAUGAAUCCUGUAAGUGACCUAUUAAUAAUCGCAAUAUGAAUGAAAUGUGCUGCCUAGAAAAUGAGGUUGCCUGGCUCUCAUAAAAUACCAUUUUCUUUUCAUAAUUUACGGGAUGUGUUGUCCAAGGAGAUGAAGUAUUUCAUGUUGGUCAGUUUUGGCUCUGCAUAGGCCUAAUACUAUGUGGAAUAUUUUUAAUGGUUGACUGAUAAAACAUUGUUUCUUGCAACUCAGCCAUUUCUGGAUUACAAACAUCAAGGCUGCAAACACAAUUUCUUACUUGGUUUAUCCCUCGAGUAGUUACAAAUACUAUCAAAGACCUAAAUACAGCAACCAAGCAACUACAUUUCUAGGGUCUGCUAUUUAACCUGAGAAAAAUUCAGAACUAAAGAUGUAGUACUUACUUUCAGGAGGCUGAUAAUCUUGGAAGCAGAAGAUUAAUUCUCUGUAAAAAUUAUGUUAAUCAGGGGCUGGCCCCGUGGCCGAGUGGUUAAGUUCUCGCGCUCCGCUGCAGGCGGCCCAGUGUUUCGUUAGUUCGAAUUCUGGGCACGGACAUGGCACUGCUCAUCAGACCACGCUGAGGCAGCGUCCCACAUGCCACAACUGGAAGAACCCACAACGAAGAAUACACAACUAUGUACCGGGGGGCUUUGGGGAGAAAAAGGAAAAAAUAAUUUAAAAAAUCUAAAAAAAAAAAAAUUACGUUAAUCAACUAAUUACAUCAAUUUUCUCAUAUUUAACGUAUGUGGGGAAUUGUACCCAGAGGAAAAUCAGUUUCCAAUCUUCUCUUGGUGCUCAUGCAUGUUGAGGUGGAGCAGGAAACAUGGGGUACAAACAAUAGAGGUGAAAUGCUUUGAGCAUUUAGGGUUUAUCUAAUGUGUACAAUAGAAGAUAGAAAGUCUACGUCUUUUAAAAAAUAGUUGGUGUAUUUUCAAAGCAUUUGGAUGCUCGGAUUAUAUCCGUUCUUUGAGAUUUGCAAGGCGCUUUUCAAAACAUGAGUUGUAUAGUCAAGUUUGUAAAUAAUCUGUGGAAAAGAAUGUUGCAAAAAUUCUAUUUGACCUCCUGCACCUGCUUGGCCCUGGUCUCCUUUGACACGUAUUAUGUCCUCUCUGGCCAGGCUAUUUGCUUCUCCUUCUGUGGCAGGGCAAAUCUUUUUUUGCUUUUCCAUCUCAAGCCAUGAGAGUUAUGACAGGGGUGGUUGGGUCUUAGAAUAAGAUAGAGGAGGACACAGAAGAGCACAUUAUGUGCUCUCUUAGUGUAUCUGUGGCUGGAUUUUAGGUGGAGAGAGAAAGUGAAGAGAUUUGGGCUCACAGGUAAGGCUACAGAACGGUGCCUGGGAAGGUUGGGAGGCAGCUGGGCACACUCAUAUGGUGAUGUGGAUGACCAUCGUGCUGCAACCCAUCUUGUAUUGUGGUGCUGUCUUGAUGUUUCUGUCUUCCCCACCAUACUCUAAGCUCUUCUCAGGAAAAACCCAUUUGUCAUUUUGUAGGUUUAAAAAAAGGUCCAAUACCAGCAAUUCAAAUGGUUAGAACUGAACAUAAUGCACUGCGUGAGCCAGGGACAGACUGGAUUUUCCCCACCAUCUCUGUCCCUCCCCAGCAGCAUUGCCUUGGGCAAGUCUCUUAAUCUGGAUGAGCCUUAUUUUCUACACUUAUACCGUGGGGCAAAACAUACACUUCCUCCUAGGGCUGCUGGGAAUAUUAAAUUAUUAAUAAAUAAUGCACGUGUAUUUGUGCCUGCCAUGUAAUAAAUACACUGUAAGUCGUGCCUAUGACGUUUCUAAUUUAUUGUUUCAGUUUCUGAAGCCUAGCACCAAUCCUGCUUAUACUGGGUGCUCAGUAAUGUUUGUUAAAUACAAAACAGCUAAGUUGAAGCCUAUGGUUGUGUUAAAUGCCCAACGAAUACUUACUGCAUGAGCGAGUGGUUCUUGUCCCAGAUCAAAUGGCCCAGAGACCCACCUGGGAGUUACUCAUCUCACAGUUAGCUCUGAGAAUUGUAGCCUGCGGGAGCUCCACUUCAAACAGGGAUUCUCAUGAAAAGCAAAUCAAAAGCGAAUUUGAAGGAGAGGCAAAAUACAUUGUUUCUUAUUAGGCCUGCUGUUUGAUUUUCAUUAGGCAUCCUGCCUGAUUCUUAUUAGGACUGCCCUGAUUUCUUUUAGGUCCUGGUCAUUUAGGGUCAGUGCUCAUGUGCUUUAUAAAUGAUGUCAUUAUUUGACUUUAUUACAUACAUGAUGUAGGUAAUGAUUCAGGGUUUAUUCCACAAAAUAAUCCUAAGCACCUAAUGCUGAUUGGUUUAAUGAUACAAAAACUAAUUUGGAAGGAAUGGAAGGUUUCCUGGGGCACAGCUGAUGAUGUGAAUGUGAAAAGGCUUCAUUUCCCACAUUUAAAGAAUGGAAACAACAUGCAAUUACGUGUUCUUCGAUGAGGUGUUUUCUUUGAAAUGGUAGAACUUGGAACGUCUCCAUAUGAGAAAGGUGGAAAAACUUAAGUAACUGUGCCAAGGUCAGUUUUCCUUUUUUAUUUCCUUUAUUAUUGUUAUAUUUAUUCUUGGCUAUAAACAUAUGCUUUCUCAUUUUUUUCUCUUUCUUUUAAUAUGAAAACCUAAUGGGGAGACUGAUGAGAUUGGCCAAGUCUGUGAAAUUAAAAUGAAUUUUGUAAUUUUGUUUAUCAGCUUGGGGUCAAUGACAUGGAAAUUCUGUAAGUUAUAAAUGUAAAUAUGAACAUGAAUUCCAUGUGCUGAAUUCACUCAUGCAGAAGGCGGGCCCAUUCCCACUCUGCGCCAUCACCCACCUCCCAACAGUUAACAAUUAGCUAGUUAAAUAAGCCACCUUGGGGUUCUGUGUGUCUGUGCUACUUGGCUCCCUGCGGUGCUUAUCCAAGCUCUUUAUGAAAGAUUUGUGCUUGGAUCUGAUUCUCAUGAUACAUUAAUAAAGGUGAAAACCGGUCUUUUUUUUUUUGGUGUUUUUCUUUAGGAUGGGAUGUGAUAGGAGAGCACACGGAAUGACCCCGGUCACCCACCAUAGAAAUCAGUUCAAGUACCGACUUCAGUAGUGAGCUUUUAAACUGGUCUUAAUUAGCGUCAGCCGAGAGGCUGAAGAUUGAAUGGGCUAUAGCGAGUGAAUUAUCCUCUCAUCCUGAGAAGUGGGCCUCCCAGGGCCGAGAUGAAGCACCGUCGCAGUGCAUUGUGGGAAAGCUGCUGCUGUCCCGGCUCCUCGUGCUCUGCAAACAGAAGACAUCGGUGUGUAGUGCUCUCUAUUUGGCACCCUGCUUGAUGAGUGCUGAAUGUACUUAAAAUCCAGCCUCCCCAAGAGGAACAAUGGGCCUAUGAACCGCAAAAAGGCCCAAGUGUGAGAUAAUGAGGGGUACCUUCAGGGCAUCCUCCUCUCCUGGUUUGUUUCCUGCUAGACAGACCACACUUGGUCAGAGAGCUGAGCAGCUUCUUAUGUGAUCUGCAGCAAUGAUUGAUUGGAACUUCGGUUUAAAAAAAACAUACUCUUUUUGGAAAGGAGAAGGCAAACGCUUUCUUAACGGCCUGCAGUAAAACACUGUUGAACAAGCCACCAUGUUGACUUUUUAUAGUUGAAAAUUAAAGGUCCACUGUAAUCAUUUUUUGCUCUUCAUUGAUUUAAGGACCCAGUCGAAUAAUAAUUUAGACUCAACUUUUCAUCUCUGUAUAGAUUCAUGAUUUGUAAGCUGUUUCUGGCAACUCUCUCUGUAAUACCAAUGAAAUUUCUUUUUAUUCAUCUCACUUUUUGGCUCGACUCCCUCAUAAUUAGCUUCUAGGUCAAAGUAACAAGUAUUUAAGACUAAAUUUCUGUGGAUAUCAACUCCUAAAGGACAUUUCACAGCACUAGCAGUAGUUACCAUUUCCUAGCAGUCUUCAUCUAUCUUAUAUUUGUGCUGAAGUAAAGUAUUUGGGCAAUAUGUUUUCUAAAUAAUUGAACAUCAGAAAGAAGUUUAUUUAUUUGUACUUUAAAUGGCUAUUGUUUUCGGGUUUCAAAAAAGGAGAUUGCUGAAAGUACAGUCUCAAAAAACAAAACAGAGGAAUGUUUAAAGAGUAGUAAAAAGUGUAAUGGUUUUGCUUGAAUUAUUAUUUAUUUA